AGCUCAGCUGGCUAGAGCGUCCCGCACAGCGUGCGGGAAGGUCACCGGUUCGACUCCGGUAUUCUCCA
Molecule: transfer RNA, 68 nt
Filed under: Flavobacteriales bacterium
Lineage: Bacteria; Pseudomonadati; Bacteroidota; Flavobacteriia; Flavobacteriales
Description: tRNA-Ala
Rfam family: tRNA
About the family: Transfer RNA (tRNA) molecules are approximately 80 nucleotides in length. Their secondary structure includes four short double-helical elements and three loops (D, anti-codon, and T loops). Further hydrogen bonds mediate the characteristic L-shaped molecular structure. tRNAs have two regions of fundamental functional importance: the anti-codon, which is responsible for specific mRNA codon recognition, and the 3' end, to which the tRNAs corresponding amino acid is attached (by aminoacyl-tRNA synthetases). tRNAs cope with the degeneracy of the genetic code in two manners: having more than one tRNA (with a specific anti-codon) for a particular amino acid; and 'wobble' base-pairing, i.e. permitting non-standard base-pairing at the 3rd anti-codon position.
Source: RNAcentral